CAGUAGCCGCGGGAAUACGAAGGGUGCAAGCGUUAAUCGGAAUUACUGGGCGUAAAGCGUGCGUAGGCGGUUUGUUAAGUCUGUUGUGAAAUCCCCGGGCUCAACCUGGGAAUGGCAAUGGAUACUGGCAAGCUAGAGUGCGUCAGAGGAUGGUGGAAUUCCCGGUGUAGCGGUGAAAUGCGUAGAGAUCGGGAGGAACAUCAGUGGCGAAGGCGGCCAUCUGGGACAACACUGACGCUGAGGCACGAAAGCGUGGGGAGUAAGCAGGAUUAGAUACCCCUGUAGUCCCUGUCUCUUAUAC
This 301-nucleotide ribosomal RNA is filed under the name uncultured bacterium. RNAcentral's name for it is "partial 16S ribosomal RNA". It matches the Rfam family "Bacterial small subunit ribosomal RNA", at positions 509 to 807 of the family's 1533-position model. The record is from RNAcentral.